AGCCCCAACCGGGAAUUGAACCCGGAUAUUCAGCUUAGAAGGCUGGUGUUCUAUCCAUUAAACUAUUAAGGC
This 72-nucleotide transfer RNA is filed under the name Terrestrivirus sp. RNAcentral's name for it is "tRNA-Arg". The record is from RNAcentral. Lineage: Varidnaviria; Bamfordvirae; Nucleocytoviricota; Megaviricetes; Imitervirales; Mimiviridae.